GGGAGGUGUUAUCAGUUCGGGUAGGAACCUCCUUAGGGAGGGGCAGACCUCGCACCCAUCUCCCAGGCCCGGGCUCCAGGGAGAUCCUGAGGUUGGCGCUGUUGUCGAGCCCCCCAAGGAGUUGGCUGGCAGCUGGGACUGCUGUUACAAAGAGUGGCAAGAAGAAUUACUCUGGUGAAACAUUUUACUGUGAACAUAGUGGGUACAGAAUCUCAUCCAAAAGCAUCUGUCUAAACUACUCUCAAGUUUGCCCUGACUGGAAUGUAAACUUCCUAAGGAGAAAACUUUCAAAAAUGUUCAUCCACAUUUGCAGCUUCCAUGCUAUGAAAUAUCUUUGUGUGUGAACAGAAGACACAUUUCAGUUUCUUAAGCUAAAAGCGGCCA
This is a long non-coding RNA of Eptesicus fuscus (big brown bat), 384 nucleotides long. RefSeq lists it as uncharacterized. The transcript is spliced from 3 exons. The record is from RefSeq and is a predicted model, not a curated record. Lineage: Eukaryota; Metazoa; Chordata; Mammalia; Chiroptera; Vespertilionidae.